UACGUAGGGGGCAAGCGUUGUCCGGAUUUAUUGGGCGUAAAGAGCUCGUAGGUGGUUCGGUAAGUCGGAUGUGAAAUCUCCAGGCUCAACCUGGAGGGGUCAUUCGAUACUGCCGUGACUAGAGGUCGGUAGGGGAGUGUGGAAUUCCUGGUGGAGCGGUGAAAUGCGCAGAUAUCAGGAGGAACACCAGUGGCGAAGGCGGCUCACUGGCUCGAUACUGACGCUGAGGCACGAAAGCGUGGGGAGCAAACAGG
This 254-nucleotide ribosomal RNA is filed under the name uncultured bacterium. RNAcentral's name for it is "partial 16S ribosomal RNA". It matches the Rfam family "Bacterial small subunit ribosomal RNA", at positions 524 to 776 of the family's 1533-position model. The record is from RNAcentral.